ACAAACUUGGUCAUUUAGAGGAAGUAAAAGUCGUAACAAGGUUUCCGUAGGUGAACCUGCGGAAGGAUCAUUACUGAGGUUACCGGGGGCGAGUUUGCGGGAUGCAAGUGCCAGCACUCUUUGGGUGCGUUGUGCACGGCUCUCCUUCUCGUCUUCGUUCCUUCUAUCAACCCCUGUGCACCAUAAUAGGAUUAGAGAGAAGCGCGGCAGAUUAAGGAUUAGCCUAGUAGUUGUGGGUCCCCACCCACGGCAAAAGGUUAAUCUUGACGCGUGGUACCUCGAACCCCUUGAUUAUUACAAACCACUAUCUAUGUCUUGUCAGAAUGUUCAGUCCCUUGUUGGACGCUAAAUGAAAUACAACUUUCAACAACGGAUCUCUUGGCUCUCGCAUCGAUGAAGAACGCAGC
RNAcentral lists this unclassified non-coding RNA (407 nucleotides) under uncultured fungus. Its description in RNAcentral is "partial contains small subunit ribosomal RNA, internal transcribed spacer 1, and 5.8S ribosomal RNA". The stretch from base 1 to 73 matches the Rfam family "Eukaryotic small subunit ribosomal RNA", at positions 1759 to 1831 of the family's 1831-position model. The record is from RNAcentral. Lineage: Eukaryota; Fungi.